UACGUAGGGUGCAAGCGUUGUCCGGAAUUAUUGGGCGUAAAGAGCUCGUAGGCGGUUUUGUUGCGUCGGCUGUGAAAAUCCCCGAGGCUCAACCUCGGGUCUGCAGUCGAUACGAGCAAACUAGAGUGUUGCAGGGGGAGACUGGAAUUCCUGGUGUAGCGGUGAAAAUGCGCAGAUAUCAGGAGGAACACCGGUGGCGAAGGCGGGUCUCUGGGGCAACAACUGACGCUGAGGAGCGAAAGCGUGGGGAGCGAACAGG
This 259-nucleotide ribosomal RNA is filed under the name uncultured bacterium. RNAcentral's name for it is "partial 16S ribosomal RNA". It matches the Rfam family "Bacterial small subunit ribosomal RNA", at positions 524 to 776 of the family's 1533-position model. The record is from RNAcentral.